CCCUUAGAUGUUCUGGGCUGCACGCGCGCUACACUGAAGCGUUCAACGAGUAUUCACCUUGCCCGGGAGGGUUGGGUAAUCUUUUGAAUGUGCAUCGUGAUUGGGAUAGAUGAUUGCAAUUCUUCAUCUUCAACGAGGAAUGCCUAGUAAACGCAAGUCAUCAGCUUGCAUUGAUUACGUCCCUGCCCUUUGUACACACCGCCCGUCGCUCCUACCGAUUGAAUGUUCCGAUGAAUACCAUGGACUGAGAGUAUGAAUGGGUUCGCCUAUUUCUGCUUCUCGGGAAGUGGAGUAAAUCUUAACAUUUAGAGGAAGGAGAAGUCGUAACA
RNAcentral lists this ribosomal RNA (329 nucleotides) under uncultured eukaryote. RNAcentral describes it as "partial 18S ribosomal RNA". It matches the Rfam family "Eukaryotic small subunit ribosomal RNA", at positions 1470 to 1796 of the family's 1831-position model. The record is from RNAcentral.